AAAACUUUCAACAACGGAUCUCUUGGCUCUGGCAUCGAUGAAGAACGCAGCGAAAUGCGAUAAGUAAUGUGAAUUGCAGAAUUCAGUGAAUCAUCGAAUCUUUGAACGCACAUUGCGCCCGCCAGUAUUCUGGCGGGCAUGCCUGUUCGAGCGUCAUUACAACCCUCAGGCCCCCGGGCCUGGCGUUGGGGAUCGGCGGAAGCCCCCUGCGGGCACAACGCCGUCCCCCAAAUACAGUGGCGGUCCCGCCGCAGCUUCCAUUGCGUAGUAGCUAACACCUCGCAACUGGAGAGCGGUGCGGCCACGCCGUAAAACACCCAACUUCUGAAUGUUGACCUCGAAUCAGGUAGGAAUACCCGCUGAACUUAAGCAUAUCAAUAAGCGGAGGAAAAGAAACCAACAGGGAUUGCCCCAGUAACGGCGAGUGAAGCGGCAACAGCUCAAAUUUGAAAUCUGGCUCUCGGGCCCGAGUUGUAAUUUGUAGAGGAUGCUUUUGGUGAGGUGCCUUCCGAGUUCCCUGGAACGGGACGCCAUAGAGGGUGAGAGCCCCGUCUGGUUGGACACCGAUCCUCUGUAAAGCUCCUUCGACGAGUCGAGUAGUUUGGGAAUGCUGCUCUAAAUGGGAGGUAUAUGUCUUCUAAAGCUAAAUACCGGCCAGAGACCGAUAGCGCACAAGUAGAGUGAUCGAAAGAUGAAAAGAACUUUGAAAAGAGAGUUAAAAAGUACGUGAAAUUGUUGAAAGGGAAGCGCUUGUGACCAGACUUGGGCUUGGUUGAUCAUCCGGGGUUCUCCCCGGUGCACUCUUCCGGCUCAGGCCAGCAUCAGUUCGCCCUGGGGGAUAAAGGCUUCGGGAAUGUGGCUCUCUCCGGGGAGUGUUAUAGCCCGCUGCGUAAUACCCUGUGGCGGACUGAGGUUCGCGCAUUCGCAAGGAUGCUGGCGUAAUGGUCAUCAGUGACCCGUCUUGAAACACGGACC
RNAcentral lists this ribosomal RNA (975 nucleotides) under uncultured Hypocreales. RNAcentral describes it as "eukaryotic LSU rRNA". The stretch from base 333 to 975 matches the Rfam family "Eukaryotic large subunit ribosomal RNA", at positions 1 to 667 of the family's 3401-position model. The record is from RNAcentral. Lineage: Eukaryota; Fungi; Ascomycota; Sordariomycetes; Hypocreales.